Molecule: ribosomal RNA, 647 nt
Filed under: uncultured organism
Description: SSU rRNA
Rfam family: Eukaryotic small subunit ribosomal RNA
Source: RNAcentral
CGGAGAGGGAGCAUGAGAAACGGCUACUCACAUCCCAGGAAGGCAGCAGGCGCGCAAAUUACCCCCUCCCGACACGGGGAGGUAGUGACAAUAUGUAACAAUAUACGGCUUUAUUGUCGUAUAAUUGGAAUGAGUACAAUUUAUAAUCCCUUAACGAGGAACAAUUGGAGGGCAAGUCUGGUGCCAGCAGCCGCGGUAAUUCCAGCUCCAAUAGCGUAUAUUAAAGUUGUUGCAGCUAAAAAGCUCGUAGUUGGACCUUGGGCCUGCUACAGGCGGUCCGCCUCACGGCGUGUACUGUCUUGCUGGUCCUUUCCUCUUGGUGAUCUGCGGUUUCGGCCGCAGGGAACCAGCACCUUUACUUUGAAAAAAUUAUAGUGUUCAUAGCAGGCUUUACUCCAGAAUAUAUUAGCAUGGAAUAAUAAAAUAGGACGUGCGGUUCUGUUUUGUUGGUUUUUGGGAUCGCCGUAAUGAUUAAUAGGGACAGUCGGGGGCAUUAUUACUCUCAUGCUAGAGGUGAAAUUCUUGGAUUUUGUGAAGACUAACUUCUGCGAAAGCAUUUGCCAAGGAUGUGUUCAUUAAUCACGAACGAAGGUUAGGGUAUCGAAAACGAUUAGAUACCGUUGUAUUCUUAACAGUAAACUAUGCCG